AUUGAACGCUGGCGGCAUGCUUUACACAUGCAAGUCGAACGGUAACAGCACUUCGGUGGCUGACGAGUGGCGAACGGGUGAGUAAUACAUCGGAACGUGCCUAGUAGUGGGGGAUAACUACUCGCAAGAGUAGCUAAUACCGCAUGAGAUCUAAGGAUGAAAGCAGGGGACCUUCGGGCCUUGCGCUACUAGAGCGGCUGAUGGCAGAUUAGGUAGUUGGUGGGAUAAAGGCUUACCAAGCCGACGAUCUGUAGCUGGUCUGAGAGGACGACCAGCCACACUGGGACUGAGACACGGCCCAGACUCCUACGGGAGGCAGCAGUGGGGAAUUUUGGACAAUGGGCGCAAGCCUGAUCCAGCAAUGCCGCGUGCAGGAUGAAGGCCUUCGGGUGGUAAACUGCUUUUGUACGGAACGAAAAGCCUUCUUCUAAUACAGGAGGGUCAUGACGGUACCGAAAGAAUAAGCACCGGCUAACUACGUG
RNAcentral lists this ribosomal RNA (482 nucleotides) under uncultured bacterium. RNAcentral describes it as "partial 16S ribosomal RNA". It matches the Rfam family "Bacterial small subunit ribosomal RNA", at positions 30 to 507 of the family's 1533-position model. The record is from RNAcentral.